CAAGCGCUGCAGGCACCACUAUCCAGAGCCCACCUGUACCAGCAUCACCAAUAUAGGAGACGGCCGAGUCUCCAGUGGUACUCUCUCACAGCAUCGAGAGCCGGAACAUCGCUAGCAGAGGACAUCACAGUGCAGAGCAAGCAUAUGAGCUUGCGGUCCCUGGGUGGGUUCAGACCCCUGAGGAAACAUCUGCAGUGAUAGCGUACUUCAGUAGAGACUGCUCCUGCUCUAAACUUUGACUGUAUCCCACUACCAACCAGUUACUAUUUGAAGAACUGUGACCUGGUGGUCCAAACAAACUUCCUUUUCUGGGGUCUCUGGUGAAGAAAAGAAGGAUCCCUUUGACACAGCAUCUUACUUCAGACUCCACCACAGACUGGUUGCUACGUCAAGGUUACAUUUUCAAGGAGUCCAAUGGGCGGUUCUACUCAGCGAUAGACAGUGUUCCCUAAAAGAAUGUGCAUAGAGGUGGUUGACAGUCCCCGAAAAGGCUCGAUCACUGGAACCGAAACGCAGCAUGAAAAUAGUUUGAAGUGAUUACAUUAUUACUCACAUUGUUAAAAUACAUUCUAGCCCUGAAAGAUGGUAGGAGCCCUUUUUCUGGACAAUGUCUGUCCGUGCAUAUCAUCAUUAUCUAUGGAUAAGCAGAGGGGAGCACGCUCCUGCUGCAGAAGACGGAUUGCCAUCUAUAGUCUAAACAAGCUAUGGGACUUAAAAUAGAAGUCAGGCAGUGGUGACAAAUGAG
Molecule: long non-coding RNA, 745 nt
Organism: Hyla sarda
Lineage: Eukaryota; Metazoa; Chordata; Amphibia; Anura; Hylidae
Exons: 4
Source: RefSeq, a predicted model, not a curated record